AUCGCUUCUCGGCCUAUUGGCUAAGAUCAAGUGUAGUAUCUGUUCUUAUCAGCUUAAUAUCUGGUACGCCAGUCUUGUCUGGCUCAUUUAUUAAACAAAUUUUUACGGGCAGGUCUGGUGCCUUUCCUGCUUGCAGGAACGACACCGGAUAGAUCGCUUGCGCAUUGCACUAUUGCUUAAGCGGUCGCCUAUU
Small nuclear RNA from Thelohanellus kitauei, 193 nucleotides. It matches the Rfam family "U2 spliceosomal RNA". From Rfam's summary of the family: U2 is a small nuclear RNA (snRNA) component of the spliceosome (involved in pre-mRNA splicing). Complementary binding between U2 snRNA (in an area lying towards the 5' end but 3' to hairpin I) and the branchpoint sequence (BPS) of the intron results the bulging out of an unpaired adenosine, on the BPS, which initiates a nucleophilic attack at the intronic 5' splice site, thus starting the first of two transesterification reactions that mediate splicing. The record is from Rfam. NCBI's taxonomy places the organism in Eukaryota, Metazoa, Cnidaria, Myxozoa, Bivalvulida, Myxobolidae.